This is a non-coding RNA of Eptesicus fuscus (big brown bat), 450 nucleotides long. The record is from the annotation of a RefSeq genome assembly. Lineage: Eukaryota; Metazoa; Chordata; Mammalia; Chiroptera; Vespertilionidae.
AUGGCCUGGCUUCCCUUCUGCCUCCUGCCCCUCGUCGUCUCCACAGGUCUCUGUGGUCCUCUUGUGCUCACCCAGCCCCCAUCUGCCUCUGCCGCCCCGGGGGCCUCGGCCAAGCUCACCUGCACCCUGAGCCAGGAGCACAGCAGCUACACUAUUCGCUGGUAUCAGCAGAGAGCAGGACAGGCCCCUCGGUUCCUCAUGCGACUUUACAGCAACGGGACCCACACCAAGGGGGACGGGAUCCCUGAUCGCUUCUCGGGCUCCAGCUCUGGGGCCGACCGCUACUUGACCAUCUCCCCCCUCCAGUCUGAGGACGAGGCGGACUAUUACUGUCAGUCUCCCUGCACAUCUGAGCUCAUGAAGCUCCAGAUCUUGGCAGCCUGGGUUCCUAACAACCAAACCCGAGCUGUGGGCACCGAGGAGUCCACCCGGGUCCCUGCUCAGGGCUGA